RNAcentral lists this ribosomal RNA (468 nucleotides) under uncultured bacterium. RNAcentral's name for it is "partial 16S ribosomal RNA". It matches the Rfam family "Bacterial small subunit ribosomal RNA", at positions 28 to 507 of the family's 1533-position model. The record is from RNAcentral.
GACAAACGCUGGCGGCGUGCUUAACACAUGCAAGUCGAACGGAAAGGCCCUGCUUUUGUGGGGUGCUCGAGUGGCGAACGGGUGAGUAACACGUGAGUAACCUGCCCUUGACUUUGGGAUAACUUCAGGAAACUGGGGCUAAUACCGGAUAGGAGCUCCUGCUGCAUGGUGGGGGUUGGAAAGUUUCGGCGGUUGGGGAUGGACUCGCGGCUUAUCAGCUUGUUGGUGGGGUAGUGGCUUACCACGGCUUUGACGGGUAGCCGGCCUGAGAGGGUGACCGGCCACAUUGGGACUGAGAUACGGCCCAGACUCCUACGGGAGGCAGCAGUGGGGUAUAUUGCACAAUGGGCGGAAGCCUGAUGAAGCAACGCCGCGUGCGGGAUGACGGCCUUCGGGUUGUAAACCGCUUUCGCCUGUGACGCAGCGUGAGUGACGGUAAUGGGUAAAGAAGCACCGGCUAACUACGUG